RNAcentral lists this non-coding RNA (46 nucleotides) under Schistosoma curassoni. The record is from RNAcentral. Lineage: Eukaryota; Metazoa; Platyhelminthes; Trematoda; Strigeidida; Schistosomatidae.
GCACUACUGACGAGUCCCGCACUAGGACGAAACGGCCGUCCAGUGC